This 74-nucleotide transfer RNA is filed under the name Methanobacterium sp. RNAcentral describes it as "tRNA-Ile". It matches the Rfam family "tRNA". Rfam says of the family: Transfer RNA (tRNA) molecules are approximately 80 nucleotides in length. Their secondary structure includes four short double-helical elements and three loops (D, anti-codon, and T loops). Further hydrogen bonds mediate the characteristic L-shaped molecular structure. tRNAs have two regions of fundamental functional importance: the anti-codon, which is responsible for specific mRNA codon recognition, and the 3' end, to which the tRNAs corresponding amino acid is attached (by aminoacyl-tRNA synthetases). tRNAs cope with the degeneracy of the genetic code in two manners: having more than one tRNA (with a specific anti-codon) for a particular amino acid; and 'wobble' base-pairing, i.e. permitting non-standard base-pairing at the 3rd anti-codon position. The record is from RNAcentral. Lineage: Archaea; Methanobacteriati; Methanobacteriota; Methanobacteria; Methanobacteriales; Methanobacteriaceae. RNAcentral also lists the same sequence under 2 other names.
GGGCCCAUAGCUUAGGCUGGUAGAGCGCCCGGCUCAUAACCGGGCGGCCAUGGGUUCGAAUCCCAUUGGGCCCA